AGUGAACGCUGGCGGUAGGCCUAACACAUGCAAGUCGAACGGCAGCACAGGAGAGCUUGCUCUCUGGGUGGCGAGUGGCGGACGGGUGAGGAAUACAUCGGAAUCUACUCUGUCGUGGGGGAUAAAGUAGGGAAACUUACGCUAAUACCGCAUACGACCUACGGGUGAAAGAAGGGGAUCUUCGGACCUUGCGCGAUUGAAUGAGCCGAUGUCGGAUUAGCUAGUUGGCGGGGUAAAGGCCCACCAAGGCGACGAUCCGUAGCUGGUCUGAGAGGAUGAUCAGCCACACUGGAACUGAGACACGGUCCAGACUCCUACGGGAGGCAGCAGUGGGGAAUAUUGGACAAUGGGCGCAAGCCUGAUCCAGCCAUACCGCGUGGGUGAAGAAGGCCUUCGGGUUGUAAAGCCCUUUUGUUGGGAAAGAAAUCCAGCUGGCUAAUACCCGGUUGGGAUGACGGUACCCAAAGAAUAAGCACCGGCUAACUUCGUGCCAGCAGCCGCAGUAA
RNAcentral lists this ribosomal RNA (506 nucleotides) under uncultured bacterium. Its description in RNAcentral is "partial 16S ribosomal RNA". It matches the Rfam family "Bacterial small subunit ribosomal RNA", at positions 29 to 523 of the family's 1533-position model. The record is from RNAcentral.